CCUACGGGAGGCAGCAGUGGGGAAUAUUGCACAAUGGGCGCAAGCCUGAUGCAGCCAUGCCGCGUGUGUGAAGAAGGCCUUCGGGUUGUAAAGCACUUUCGGCGGGGAGGAAGGCGUUAAGGUUAAUAACCUUGGCGAUUGACGUUACCCGCAGAAGAAGCACCGGCUAACUCCGUGUCAGCAGCCGCGGUAAUACGGAGGGUGCAAGCGUUAAUCGGAAUUACUGGGCGUAAAGCGCACGCAGGCGGUCUGUCAAGUCGGAUGUGAAAUCCCCGGGCUCAACCUGGGAACUGCAUUCGAAACUGGCAGGCUAGAGUCUUGUAGAGGGGGGUAGAAUUCCAGGUGUAGCGGUGAAAUGCGUAGAGAUCUGGAGGAAUACCGGUGGCGAAGGCGGCCCCCUGGACAAAGACUGACGCUCAGGUGCGAAAGCGUGGGGAGCAAACAGGAUUAGAUACCCGAGUAGUC
RNAcentral lists this ribosomal RNA (465 nucleotides) under uncultured Klebsiella sp. RNAcentral's name for it is "bacterial SSU rRNA". It matches the Rfam family "Bacterial small subunit ribosomal RNA", at positions 338 to 795 of the family's 1533-position model. Lineage: Bacteria; Pseudomonadati; Pseudomonadota; Gammaproteobacteria; Enterobacterales; Enterobacteriaceae. The record is from RNAcentral.